Molecule: long non-coding RNA, 1583 nt
Filed under: Salmo salar (Atlantic salmon)
Lineage: Eukaryota; Metazoa; Chordata; Actinopteri; Salmoniformes; Salmonidae
Description: lncRNA (ENSSSAG00000082504.1)
Source: RNAcentral
CUUGUAAAGAAAUCAAAGCUGGCUGACAAUGAUGCUUUGGAGCUUAGCCAGAACAUGACCUUUUAUUCCAAAAAGAAUUUGACAGUGACGUUGGGUUGAAUCUAGCCUAUGCGGAGUCGCCCUAAAACGUCUUUCUACGCCUGUCACGUUAAGUUAGGUUCAAUCAAAUGUCAUCUCUUUUAUGCCUCACUAUACAGUUGUAUGCAAAAACAUAUGUUUGAUAAUGUUAUGUAGUUCCUAACUAGAGGCCUUUCUUGAAGUUAAGAAUGCAAACACUGAACUGAACACCGCAAGACGGACAUAUCAAUCAAAUUAAAGCUCCUCAUUUGCCUUCUUAACUGCCUGGAUGCAUUGUCGAAAUUGUUUAGAAUGUUUUUUUAUUGUAUUCAAAAAUCAUCAUCAGAUAUGCAGGGGGGUGCCAACUGAACAAUAUCAGAUUUUGUAGCAUUUGGUUAAAGAAGCUAUGCACAUCAAGCAAAUAAUGAUAGAUAACCGUAUGUCUUCCUCCAUCCAAAGGGUUUCUAGAUUGCAGCAGAAUUGAAAUCCAGUCUUGUUAUAUUGAAUUUUGAACAAUAUCAGUGCAGUGAUGUUUCAUAUGAUCCUUUUUGAUUAGUGUGAAUUGGUGCUGCUAGUCUGACAGUAUACCAUUAAGGCCAACGUCAUUGGUACCAGCCGUCUGAAAGACUACUCUAAGCACAAAACAGCCAGCUUAAUAUUUGACUUUGGUUUUACAAUCCUACAGAAGCACAAUGCGCUUCUUUUUUACACAAUACAAUCCUUUGUCUAAUCUAUAUAGGCAAGGUUUAACACUCUUAUUGUUAAAAACUGCCGUAAUAAAGACUUAACGGGAGAAAAGACUGCUUUCACUGCUGCAAAUCUGAGAACUGAAAGAUAGUACUCGAAAGGGAUGUAGCUUAAAUUGAUUUUUUACUCUUAACUGUUUAGUUUUGAGAUAAAUCGUGUUAUGGAUGAGUUCCAUUGGUGUACUUUGCUGUUUCUUGAAUAAAUAUAUUACUCAGUACAGUGUUUAAUCAUGCAGUUUGUUGUUUUUAUGAUGUGGUGGAAACACAUCAUAAAACACAUUGUUUUGAUGAUGAUGAUGAUGAUGAUGAUGUGUGAUUUUAAAGAAGGACACUCCACAUUGUAGCAGUAUCAAUUUUCAAAGGCCUUGCUUUGUUAACAGGUUGAACACUAAAUAGGCUUGAAACGUUACGUACCAUCCAACGGGAUACGGUGGAAGAAAAACGGUACCACUCCUCAUGAUGACUGUAGAUGGAUUUUUUUGCGAUUUUGUAUUUACUAAAUGGUGGUUUAAAAAAAAUAUAUAUAAGAAUCAAGUUAUCUGAAUAACUACCUAAUAUGACUAACCUGAAAAAAGCUGCCACCACUAUAAUGUACCACCACCUACUGCAUUCAGUGGAUGAUAACUUGAAAGGCAAUGCUGUUGGGGCUAAGCGCUACUGAAUAUUUAGCUCCUUCAGAAUCUGUCCCUGUUGUUUUUACAUGUAUGAUGAUGACAAAGUGUUUUUUUUUCUUCAUUAUUACCACUGGUGGAAGAUGAUGUCCUCCCAACUCCUACUGUC